GACGAACGCCGGCGGCGUGCUUAACACAUGCAAGUCGAGCGGUAAGGCCCUUCGGGUACACGAGCGGCGAACGGGUGAGUAACACGUGGGUGACCUGCCUCUAGCUCUGGGAUAAGCCUGGGAAACUGGGUCUAAUACCGGAUAUGACUCCACGGCGCAUGUUGUGGGGUGGAAAGCCUUGUGUGGCUAGAGAUGGGCCCGCGGCCUAUCAGCUUGUUGGUGGGGUGANGGCCUACCAAGGCGACGACGGGUAGCCGGCCUGAGAGGGCGACCGGCCACACCGGGACUGAGACACGGCCCAGACUCCUACGGGAGGCAGCAGUGGGGAAUCUUGCGCAAUGGGCGAAAGCCUGACGCAGCGACGCCGCGUGAGGAUGACGGCCUGU
RNAcentral lists this ribosomal RNA (386 nucleotides) under uncultured bacterium. RNAcentral's name for it is "bacterial SSU rRNA". It matches the Rfam family "Bacterial small subunit ribosomal RNA", at positions 28 to 419 of the family's 1533-position model. The record is from RNAcentral.